CACAGAUUUCUAACAAGUGAUUUGCUCCAUUUGUUGAGUUUCACAUACUCUAAAAACCUCAACAUAUGUGAGGCGAGAGACCUUGCAACGGAAGACAAUGCCACUUUAGGAGCAAUGUUUCAGAAGAUGGAGAACACAAGACUAAGGAUUACGCUAAGGUGGUUUGGUAUAAGGCAAAUCAGCAUUAGCUCCAGGUACGAGUCGAGUGCAAUAAUAUCAUAUGGUGGCGAUUUCAUUGUUGGAUAUGCAAGUUUUUUGGGUGCACAGACCACAAUAUAUGUUCGUCAAAUUUGAGGCACGAGGAGCUGUCUCGAGAGUUAGAUCGUAAUAGACCAGGCUCGAGCUCAAUGGCAGAGUAUGGAGCAUGAAGAUCGAAGUGCUCGCUGAAGAUCGAGACCGAGCAUGACCGACUUCAAGUAAAGCAUAAUAACGGAAUGGCGAGAUAUUAGCAACCGACCGAAGAUCUCGGCAAAAAUUCCGGAAUAGAUCGAAUCAAGCGGUUAUUGAUGCCAAUCAUGGGAUUUAUUUCCGUUAUUAGAAUUGUACAUUAUU
Non-coding RNA from Nicotiana tabacum (common tobacco), 552 nucleotides. The record is from RefSeq and is a predicted model, not a curated record. NCBI's taxonomy places the organism in Eukaryota, Viridiplantae, Streptophyta, Magnoliopsida, Solanales, Solanaceae.